RNAcentral lists this unclassified non-coding RNA (348 nucleotides) under soil metagenome. RNAcentral describes it as "partial contains 5.8S ribosomal RNA, internal transcribed spacer 2, and large subunit ribosomal RNA". The stretch from base 1 to 120 matches the Rfam family "5.8S ribosomal RNA", at positions 35 to 154 of the family's 154-position model. The record is from RNAcentral.
GAUGAAGAACGUAGCAAAAUGCGAUAAGUAAUGUGAAUUGCAGAAUUCAGUGAAUCAUAGAAUCUUUGAACGCACAUUGCGCCCGCUGGUAUUCCGGCGGGCAUGCCUGUUCGAGCGUCAUUUCAACCCUCAAGCCCCCGGGUUUGGUGUUGGGGAUCGGCUCUGCCCUUCUGGGCGGUGCCGCCCCCGAAAUACAUUGGCGGUCUCGCUGCAGCCUCCAUUGCGUAGUAGCUAACACCUCGCAACUGGAACGCGGCGCGGCCAUGCCGUAAAACCCCAACUUCUGAAUGUUGACCUCGGAUCAGGUAGGAAUACCCGCUGAACUUAAGCAUAUCAAUAAGCGGAGGA